This 419-nucleotide ribosomal RNA is filed under the name bacterium. RNAcentral's name for it is "partial 16S ribosomal RNA". It matches the Rfam family "Bacterial small subunit ribosomal RNA", at positions 355 to 776 of the family's 1533-position model. The record is from RNAcentral.
UGGGGGAUAUUGCACAAUGGGCGAAAGCCUGAUGCAGCGACGCCGCGUGGGGGAUGAAGGCCUUCGGGUUGUAAACUUCUUUUGCUCUGAACAAGGCAUGCUAAUGGGUGUGUUGAGUGUAGGGGUUGAUUAGCGCCGGCUAACUACGUGCCAGCAGCCGCGGUAAUACGUAGGGCGCGAGCGUUGUCCGGAAUUAUUGGGCGUAAAGGGCUUGUAGGUGGCUGGUUGCGUCUGUCGUGAAAGCUCAUGGCUUAACUGUGGGUUUGGGGUGGGUACGGGCUGGCUUGAGUGCAGUAGGGGAGGCUGGAAUUCCUGGUGUAGCGGUGGAAUGCGCAGAUAUCAGGAGGAAUACCGGUGGCGAAGGCGGGUCUCUGGGCUGUUACUGACACUGAGGAGCGAAAGCAUGGGGAGCGAACAGG